This 253-nucleotide ribosomal RNA is filed under the name uncultured bacterium. RNAcentral describes it as "partial 16S ribosomal RNA". It matches the Rfam family "Bacterial small subunit ribosomal RNA", at positions 524 to 776 of the family's 1533-position model. The record is from RNAcentral.
UACGAAGGGUGCAAGCGUUGCUCGGAAUUACUGGGCGUAAAGGGUGCGUAGGCGGCUUCUUAAGUCUGACGUGAAAGCCCAGGGCUCAGCCUUGGAAGUGCGUUAGAAACUGAGAGGCUUGAGUGCCGGAGGGGAGAGUGGAAUUCCCGGUGUAGCGGUGAAAUGCGUAGAUAUCGGGAAGAAUACCGGUGGCGAAAGCGACUCUCUGGACGGCAACUGACGCUCAUGUACGAAAGCGUGGGGAGCAAACAGG